This 3312-nucleotide long non-coding RNA is filed under the name Citrus x clementina. RNAcentral describes it as "Citrus clementina (C. clementina) long non-coding RNA (CCLE_LNC005887)". Lineage: Eukaryota; Viridiplantae; Streptophyta; Magnoliopsida; Sapindales; Rutaceae. The record is from RNAcentral.
UCGCAAAGUCUCGCACCAUUCCGAGUCCGGCGGUCGAAGUUGGCCAGCCCCACCCCCCAAGGCUAUAGCCAACCCGUUUUUGUGGCCUUUUUCCGCUGGACGAACUUGGCGCCCCGGCUUUCGGGCGGUUAUUUUUGGGCGCAACGGUGCCUGCGGCCUAUUUUUGGCACACGGAGGCGCCUCGCAAAGUCUCGCGCCAUUCCGAGUCCGGCGGACGAAGUUGGCCAGCACCACCCCCCAAGGCUAUAGCCCGCCCGUUUUUGUGGGCUUUUUCCGCUGGACGAACUUGGCGCCCCGGCCUGCGGGCGGUUGUUUUUGGGCACGGCUGUGCCCGCGGCCUAUUUUUGCCACACAGAGGUGCCUCGCAAAGUCUCGCUCCAUUCCGAGUCCGGCGGACGAAGUUGGCCAGCCCCACCCCCCAAGGCUAUAGCCCACCCGUUUUUGUGGCCUUUUUCCGCUGGACAAACUUGGCGCCCCGGCUUUCGGGCGGUUAUUUUUGGGCGCGGCUGUGCCCGCAGCCUAUUUUUGGCACACGGAGGCACCUCACAAAGUCACGCGCCAUUCCGAGUCCGUCGGACGAAGUUGGCUAGAACCACCCCCAAAGGCUAUAGCCCGCCCGUUUUUGUGGGCUUUUUCCGCUGGACGAACUCGGCGCCCCGGCCUUCGGGCGGUUAUUUUUUGACGAGGCUGUGUCCGCGGCCUAUUUUUGGCACACAGAGAUGCCUCGAAAGGUCUCGCGCCAUUCCGAGUCCGGCGGACGAAGCUGGCCAGCCCCACCCCCCAAGGCUAUAGCCCACCCGUUUUCGUGGGCUUUUUCCGCUGGACGAACUUGGCGCCCCGGCCUUCGGGCGGUUAUUUUUUUGCGCGGCUGUGCCCGCGGCCUAUUUUUCGCACACGGAGGUGCCUCAUAAAGUCUAGCACCAUUCCGAGUCCGGCGGACGAAGUUGGCCAGCCCCACCCCCCAAGGCUAUAGCCCACCCGUUUUUGUGGGCUUUUUCCGCUCGACGAACUUGGCGCCCCGGCCUUCGGGCUGUUAUUUUUGGGCGCGGCUGUGCCUGCGGCCUAUUUUAUGCACACGGAGGCACCUCAUAAAGUGUCACGCCAUUCCGAGUCCGGCGGACGAAGUGGGCCCGCCCCACCCCCCAAGGCUAUAGCCCACCCGUUUUUGUGACUUUUUCCGCUGGACGAACUUGGCGCCCCGGCUUUCGGGCGGUUUUUUUUGGGCGCGACUGUGUCCGCGGCCUAUUUUUAGCACACGGAGGUGCCUCGCAAAGUCUCGCGCCAUUCCGAGUCCGGCGGACGAAGUUGGCCAGCCCCACCCCCCCAGGCUAUAGCCCACCCGUUUUUGUGGCCUUUUUCCGCUGGACGAACUUGGCGCCCCGGCUUUCGGGCGGUUAUUUUUGGGCGCGACGGUGCCUGCGGCCUAUUUUUGGCACAUGGAGGCGCCUCACAAAGUCUCGCGCCAUUCCGAGUCCGGCGGACGAAGUUGGCCAGCACCACCCCCCAAGGCUAUAGCCCGCCCGUUUUUGUGGGCUUUUUCCGCUAGACGAACUUGGCGCCCCGGCCUGCGGGUGGUUGUUUUUGGGCACGGCUGUGCCCGCGGCCUAUUUUUGGCACACAGAGGUGCCUCGCAAAGUCUCGCACCAUUCCGAGUCCGGCGGUCGAAGUUGNNNNNNNNNNNNNNNNNNNNNNNNNNNNNNNNNNNNNNNNNNNNNNNNNNNNNNNNNNNNNNNNNNNNNNNNNNNNNNNNNNNNNNNNNNNNNNNNNNNNNNNNNNNNNNNNNNNNNNNNNNNNNNNNNNNNNNNNNNNNNGCAAAGUCUCGCGCCAUUCCGAGUCCGGCGGACGAAGUUGGCCAGCACCACCCCCCAAGGCUAUAGCCCGCCCGUUUUUGUGGGCUUUUUCCGCUGGACGAACUUGGCGCCCCGGCCUGCGGGCGGUUGUUUUUGGGCACGGCUGUGCCCACGGCCUAUUUUUGCCACACAGAGGUGCCUCGCAAAGUCUCGCUCCAUUCCGAGUCCGGCGGUCGAAGUUGGCCAGCCCCACCCCCCAAGGCUAUAGCCAACCCGUUUUUGUGGCCUUUUUCCGCUGGACAAACUUGGCGCCCCGGCUUUCGGGCGGUUAUUUUUGGGCGCGACUGUGCCCGCAGCCUAUUUUUGGCACACGGAGGCACCUCACAAAGUCUCGCGCCAUUCCGAGUCCGUCGGACGAAGUUGGCUAGAACCACCCCCAAAGGCUAUAGCCCGCCCGUUUUUGUGGGCUUUUUCCGCUGGACGAACUCGGCGCCCCGGCCUUCGGGCGGUUAUUUUUUGACGAGGCUGUGUCCGCGGCCUAUUUUUGGCACACAGAGAUGCCUCGAAAGGUCUCGCGCCAUUCCGAGUCCGGCGGACGAAGCUGGCCAGCCCCACCCCCCAAGGCUAUAGCCCACCCGUUUUGGUGGGCUUUUUCCGCUGGACGAACUGGGCGCCCCGGCCUUCGGGCGGUUAUUUUUUUGCGCGGCUGUGCCCGCGGCCUAUUUUUCGCACACGUAGGUGCCUCAUAAAGUCUAGCACCAUUCCGAGUCCGGCGGACGAAGUUGGCCAGCCCCACCCCCCAAGGCUAUAGCCCACCCGUUUUUGUGGGCUUUUUCCGCUCGACGAACUUGGCGCCCCGGCCUUCGGGCUGUUAUUUUUGGGCGCGGCUGUGCCUGCGGCCUAUUUUAUGCAUACGGAGGCACCUCAUAAAGUGUCACGCCAUUCCGAGUCCGGCGGACGAAGUGGGCCCGCCCCACCCCCCAAGGCUAUAGCCCACCCGUUUUUGUGGGCUUUUUCCGCUAGACGAACUUGGCGCCCCAGCCUGCGGGCGGUUGUUUUUGGGCACGGCUGUGCCCGCGGCCUAUUUUUGGCACACAGAGGUGCCUCGCAAAGUCUCGCUCCAUUCCGAGUCCGGCGGUCGAAGUUGGCCAGCCCCACCCCUCAAGGCUAUAGCCAACCCAUUUUUGUGGCCUUUUUCCGCUGGACGAACUUGGCGCCCCGGCUUUCGGGCGGUUAUUUUUGGGCGCGACGGUGCCUGCGGCCUAUUUUUGGCACACGGAGGCGCCUCACAAAGUCUCGCGCCAUUCCGAGUCCGGCGGACGAAGUUGGCCAGCACCACCCCCCAAGGCUAUAGCCCGCCCGUUUUUGUGGGCUUUUUCCGCUGGACGAACUUGGCGCCCCGGCCUGCGGGCGGUUGUUUUUGGGCACGGCUGUGCCCGCGGCCUAUUUUUAGCACACAGAGGUGCCUCGCAAAGUCUCGCUCCAUUCUGAGUCCGGCGGUCGAAGUUGGCAGCCCCACCCC